AAUACAGAGGGGGCCAGCGUUAUUCGGAAUUAUUGGGCGUAAAGGGCGCGUAGGCGGCCAUGCGUGUCUUCCGUGAAAUCCCUCGGCUCAACCGAGGACGUGCGGAAGAAACUGCAAGGCUCGAGUCCGGAAGAGGGGGGCGGAAUUCCCAGUGUAGCGGUGAAAUGCGUAGAUAUUGGGAGGAACACCAGUGGCGAAGGCGGUCCCCUGGGCCGGAACUGACGCUGAGGCGCGAAAGCGUGGGUAGCAAACGGGA
This 256-nucleotide ribosomal RNA is filed under the name uncultured prokaryote. RNAcentral's name for it is "partial 16S ribosomal RNA". It matches the Rfam family "Bacterial small subunit ribosomal RNA", at positions 522 to 777 of the family's 1533-position model. The record is from RNAcentral.